GGAGGAAAGUAGGGGAUCGCAAGACCUUGCGCUUUUAGAGCGGCCGAUGUCUGAUUAGCUAGUUGGUGAGGUAAAGGCUUACCAAGGCAUCGAUCAGUAGCUGGUCUGAGAGGACGACCAGCCACACUGGGACUGAGACACGGCCCAGACUCCUACGGGAGGCAGCAGUGGGGAAUUUUGGACAAUGGGGGAAACCCUGAUCCAGCCAUGCCGCGUGAGUGAAGAAGGCCUUCGGGUUGUAAAGCUCUUUCAGCCGGAACGAAACGGUCACGGCUAAUACCUGUGACUACUGACGGUACCGGAAGAAGAAGCACCGGCUAACUACGUGCCAGCAGCCGCGGUAAUACGUAGGGUGCGAGCGUUAAUCGGAAUUACUGGGCGUAAAGCGUGCGCAGGCGGUUUUGUAAGUCAGAUGUGAAAUCCCCGGGCUUAACCUGGGAACUGCGUUUGAAACUACAAAGCUAG
Molecule: ribosomal RNA, 465 nt
Filed under: uncultured ammonia-oxidizing bacterium
Lineage: Bacteria
Description: bacterial SSU rRNA
Rfam family: Bacterial small subunit ribosomal RNA
Source: RNAcentral